Odontomachus brunneus is the source of this 1623-nucleotide long non-coding RNA. RefSeq lists it as uncharacterized. The transcript is spliced from 8 exons. The record is from RefSeq and is a predicted model, not a curated record. NCBI's taxonomy places the organism in Eukaryota, Metazoa, Arthropoda, Insecta, Hymenoptera, Formicidae.
UUACUAUUUGGAUAGUAUAUAGUGCGCGCUACGCGCGCGCCUUCCAUUUCCUUUCUUAAUACUUUAUUACACAAUCUGCAUUCACAUUCGAAUGCAACACAAUCUCUGUAGGCCUAUUCUCUAAUUUUCUAACGACAACAUCGUUAUCGUUAUGUAGCGACGAUCGUCGCUUGCGCUAACGACGUUGUAAUGAAAAAGCUAUUCUGUAACUCAAGUUAGCGAUACCGUAUCGAUACAAAAUGUGAUAUCGACGUCGUUAUCGAAACGAGUAUAUUCAGUUUAAUAUAAUUUCACUGCUGCAGUGUUCAGCCAAUCAAAUCUCUUUUCCUUGUGUAUCUUUUUCAGUAAGUUUAGGAACACUAAAUACAAAUAUUGGCUGUGUCAACAAUUAUAUGUGACAGUUAACCAAAAUAUGUCAAAAUCAUGUUUUAGAUUAUGUUCAUACAUGUUGUUAGCAAAAUACUUAUUAUAUAUGUGGAUAUAUGUGGAUAUACCAAUACAGUUAAUAUCAAACAGAUGUCAUAUAUUUGUGUGUGUGUUGAAAGUUCAAGACAUCGUCAGGGAAGAGCUACUCAUCAACAAAUUGAAGCUAUGAUAAGCUAUCUGGAAAAGAAUCCACACGUAGCACAAGGCAAAUUUACGACGAUGAAUGCUAAAGAACGUUUGCAAGGAAACUGGGAAGAAUUAGCUUAAUUGUUAAAUUCAAUGAUGCCAAACGGGAAAGCAAAAGACGUGAAAAAUUCUGGAAGAUUACAUGGCGAGAUCAUAAAUCAAAGGUAUCUGAAAAGAUACAAAAAUUAAGGAAAAAAAAGAGCCAGUAUUGAAAAUAAAUCAGUUAAUAUCACAAUAACUUAUAGAUUUAGAUAAAAGAAUAUUAGGCGUCAUUGGGCAUGAAUACGUUCAAGGAUUACCAGAUAUACCUGACAGUUUUCCUGAAGAGCACAACAAUGAUAUUGAGGAAUUAUCAGCAGGAAAUACAGCAAUAUUAGAUAAUGCUCCAGCUCCAAUAGUAAUUCCAGAAUUACAAGAUGUUUCAAUUGUCACCACAAAUGAAGAAAUUGAACAAGUAACAGAUUAUAUCUAUGAAAACGAAGAAAAUAUUAAUCCUAUAGAUGAAAACUUAACAGUAGAUGAUCCAUCAUGUAUAUCAUUAACAUCACAAGAAAAUACAGCAAUAUAUAUUUUCAGAACAAGAAAACGAAAAAGGAGUAUGUAUAUUAUAACAUUAAAAUUCUGAUAAGUAAAUUCAUUAUAUGAUUUCAAUAAUACAUUACUCUCGUUUUUUUUAUAUAUGCAAGCGAAAAUUCAGAACGUCUAGGAACACAAUUAUAUAAUGCUCGAGAAUCUUUCGAGGCAAUUGCUCAGCAGCAUGCUGAAGCAAUGAAGUGGAAGCAAUGCAAUUGCAAGCCAAAAGUACAGAAGAAAUAAGUAAUGCUAUUCAUAGGAUGGUAAAUAAUGAAGAGCGACAAACAAAACUAUUGGAACUUAUAUAUAAACGUUUAAGGAAUAAUGACACAUAAAUUUUUUCAAGUUUAAUUUUUUUUAUUUCGGAGUAUAAUAAUUUUAUAAAAUGUUUAAAAAUGUUUAUUAUUAUAAAUAAAAAAAGUUUAUAUCAUCCAUCAA